ACCCGCUGAACUUAAGCAUAUCAAUAAGCGGAGGAAAAGAAACCAACAGGGAUUGCCCUAGUAACGGCGAGUGAAGCGGCAACAGCUCAAAUUUGAAAUCUGGCGUCUUCGGCGUCCGAGUUGUAAUUUGCAGAGGGCGCUUUGGCAUUGGCAGCGGUCCAAGUUCCUUGGAACAGGACGUCACAGAGGGUGAGAAUCCCGUACGUGGUCGCUAGCCUUUACCGUGUAAAGCCCCUUCGACGAGUCGAGUUGUUUGGGAAUGCAGCUCUAAAUGGGAGGUAAAUUUCUUCUAAAGCUAAAUACUGGCCAGAGACCGAUAGCGCACAAGUAGAGUGAUCGAAAAAUGAAAAGCACUUUGGAAAGAGAGUUAAAAAGCACGUGAAAUUGUUGAAAGGGAAGCGCUUGCAGCCAGACUUGCCUGUAGUUGCUCAUCCGGGUUUCUACCCGGUGCACUCUUCUAUAGGCAGGCCAGCAUCAGUUUGGGCGGUUGGAUAAAGGUCUCUGUCAUGUACCUCUCUUCGGGGAGAACUUAUAGGGGAGACGACAUGCAACCAGCCUGGACUGAGGUCCGCGCAUCUGCUAGGAUGCUGGCGUAAUGGCUGUAAGCGGCCCGUCUUGAAACACGG
This 626-nucleotide ribosomal RNA is filed under the name uncultured fungus. RNAcentral describes it as "LSU rRNA". It matches the Rfam family "Eukaryotic large subunit ribosomal RNA", at positions 23 to 664 of the family's 3401-position model. Lineage: Eukaryota; Fungi. The record is from RNAcentral.